AAUUCUCCCUUUAGUGAUUAUACACGUUUAGGGCUUCCAUAAACCAUGAGUGACACCUAGCAACAUAUCAUGGUUACCCAAGCUAACCAAUGACUCGAGACCAUCAGUGAACUCAUUCCUUAUUGAGCACCUACGUACUUGUCUUGGUGUCAAUCACACCAAUGACUCGAGACCAGUCACUCUCCAUGAGAGAAGACACAGCACGUAC
This 208-nucleotide long non-coding RNA is filed under the name Malus domestica (apple). RNAcentral's name for it is "long non-coding RNA (MDOM_LNC015229)". Lineage: Eukaryota; Viridiplantae; Streptophyta; Magnoliopsida; Rosales; Rosaceae. The record is from RNAcentral.